RNAcentral lists this long non-coding RNA (259 nucleotides) under Drosophila guanche. Lineage: Eukaryota; Metazoa; Arthropoda; Insecta; Diptera; Drosophilidae. The record is from RNAcentral.
GCUCGAAGCCGAAGCCGAAGCCAAAAGCCGAACUGUGGACGAGCUGGGACUCAAGCUCAAGAGCUCGGGAAAAACAAUGCCAGAACUUUGGUUUGCUUGGCUUGAUGGCAGGCUUAGAUAUGCUCUGCUGAAGUGCCUCUUCGUUGUGAAUUUGCUCAAGUACAGGGAUCUUCAAUAGACCACGAGUAUCCCACUAACGAGGCAGAGGUACCUGCUCCUAGAACCCAAUCUAUAUCUGAAUGAUUCAGUUCGAAAUGGG